Molecule: ribosomal RNA, 598 nt
Filed under: uncultured bacterium
Lineage: Bacteria
Description: bacterial SSU rRNA
Rfam family: Bacterial small subunit ribosomal RNA (bases 1-529)
Source: RNAcentral
CCUACGGGAGGCAGCAGUAAGGAAUAUUGGUCAAUGGACGAAAGUCUGAACCAGCCAUGCCGCGUGAAGGAUGAAGGUCCUCUGGAUUGUAAACUUCUUUUAUCUGGGACGAAAAAGGGCUUUCUAGCUCACUUGACGGUACCAGAGGAAUAAGCACCGGCUAACUCCGUGCCAGCAGCCGCGGUAAUACGGAGGGUGCAAGCGUUAUCCGGAUUUACUGGGUUUAAAGGGAGCGUAGGUGGGCAGGUAAGUCAGUGGUGAAAUCUCUGGGCUUAACCCGGAAACUGCCAUUGAUACUAUCUGUCUUGAAUAUCCUGGAGGUAAGCGGAAUAUGUCAUGUAGCGGUGAAAUGCUUAGAUAUGACAUAGAACACCCAUUGCGAAGGCAGCUUACUACGGGAUUAUUGACACUGAGGCUCGAAAGCGUGGGGAUCAAACAGGAUUAGAUACCCUGGUAGUCCACGCCCUAAACGAUGGAUACUCGACAUCAGCGAUACACUGUUGGUGUCUGNGNGAGANAUAUAUCCACCNCGAGACGACGCGAGACGACGACAUAGAGUAGACGCGNGAGAGAGCGACGACGACGACGAGGGAGGAGG